Molecule: long non-coding RNA, 5179 nt
Filed under: Nicotiana tabacum (common tobacco)
Lineage: Eukaryota; Viridiplantae; Streptophyta; Magnoliopsida; Solanales; Solanaceae
Description: long non-coding RNA (NTAB_LNC012553)
Source: RNAcentral
AAGAGAGCUUCUUACGGAUGGAGUUCAAGCAAAACAUUCUAGGAGAUUUCUUACCUUAUUAAGGUAUAAGAUCUCUAAUUCAUUUAAGAGAGAUUGAUGCAAACUUUCCGUGGUAACGUGAUUAGCACAACAAAUGACUUUCUUAUCUCCUUAAGAUUAGAAGAUGCAAGAUUCACGUUUCAGAAAGAUUGCCUACGUGAUUUGCUACAAUCAAAUCCCAUACAAGACUAUUUAAUACUUAGUAACGUGAGAUUUUACAAUUUUAAGAGAGUACGGUGCAAUCCUUCUCAAGAAUAUCAUACGGAUUUUUCUUACUCCAGGUAUGUUAAGGCUAUCCCUUCUUUCUUUUUGGCAUGAUCCAAAUAAUAUAAAUGGAAUGAGCAAAAUAUGCAACUUUCAUAAAUGACUCUAUUCAUAGAAAUACUAGGGGUGUCUAUAUACGUAUUUGAUAAAGUUUAUCUGACAUGCAUAUUAUUUUUAUGACAAAAGAAAUCUNNNNNNNNNNNNNNNNNNNNNNNNNNNNNNNNNNAUAUAUAUAUGAAAAAGGAAAAAAGGAAUUACCCAAGAGGGAUUACGCAGAAUACAUAUAUAAAAAUGGACCAAUAAGUAGUUAGUAGUUGAUUCAGGAAGAGUCUAGUUAUGGCUAGACAAGAAGUUAGAGACAAAUCAACAUAUCGUGCAAGAUAAACAUAGUGAACCCCAACAUGGGAAUUCAGUCUCGCAGAUACGACAUUGUGACCCUUGAGAAAUAUUCAGAUAAGAGUUGGGGUAGUUAAAGGUACCGUAUGAAUGUUAUGGAAAUAAAAGAUAGUCUCACUGGGAAGAUAGUCAAAAUAUCAGUUCAGAAGCAACCCUACAAGCACAAGAACGUGGAGGUAAGUAACUACGGAUAAUUAUAGGCGGGGAAGAACAUAAAAAAUUCCUUAAAGUAUACGAUGUGAUAGGCUUGUAACUUUACAAGAGCCAGAAGGUCUCCCUAAAUACUACAACGAAAGACUAGCUGAGAAAAUAAGGAAGAAGGCUUCAACCUAAGCACAGUGACCAAAAGAGGAAAUGGUCUUGUAACAACAGUCUCACAAUAACAUUGUAUGCACUCGAUAAGAAAGUGGCACCUAGCGUGACUAAUGAGCAGGAAAUGGAACCAAAAGUAAUAUUAGAGACCAUAUGAAUUGCACAAAAUUUUGACAUGCAUGGGAACUAAGAUAAGCUAAGUAUGCACGCAACAAGGGGGCAGAAAGACCAGAAAAUGUAAUAGCUUACGUUUAAAGAAAGCUGAGAAGGAACGAAAAGAAUUAUUCGAUUAAUGAUCCAGAGUUAGUUACAUUAUGAACAUACUCAAGAUUUCAGAGUAUUAUCCAUGCAGCAUGUAUGUUGACAAUCAUACAACUGUAGAAGACUCUGGUAUAAGUUAAAAGAAAGAAUUGAGUUUAGGUCAUAUACAAGGGAUUGAAUUGUUAGAUGAUGGUAUUACGAAUAUUCCAUAGCGUCUAUGAAAGGCUAAAGUAAUAACUCAUACCAUGAGCCGCAGAUCGGAAGAUAGCUUAAGCCUACAUAAAAGUUGAUCAGAGGGAAGAGAAAACUAAAGAGUUACACCAACUAAAGUAAAUUAGGAGUCUGAUUAUUGGACCCAGAAAAUUAUAGACCUCGUAAUUGAGAACAUUGCAGGAUCACUCUUAAAUAUCAGAGGAACAAGAGAGAUAGUACAGUAGCCAUAUUCUAUAAUGGCUCUACGAUAAAGCCAGCAAGAAGAAGUACCAGCCUUAUAAGAAGUCAGUAUGAAGCUCCUACCGGAUUGUGUAUGCACCAGAGGUACAAAUAUUAUAAUAGAGCUUCACAUUGUGGAUGUGAAUUGUACCUAUGUGGAAGGAAGGUUAUGAAAGAGAUAGAAGAAUGUGAGGCAAUAUUUUAAGAUAAGUAAGGUAAAGGUGGACAACGUACGAGAUUCUCAAAUACAGAAGGUUGUGAAUAGUCCUUACUUCAGAUAGAAGGCUAGAAGUGCGGGUAUUCAAUAUCCAGGAAUGAUACCGGCGUCAUAAGUGACAUAUCUUCCAGCCUAUGGUUUCUAGGUACCGAGAGGUCUAGUUAAGAGAGUAAAGAAGAGUUAGAGAUGAUGUGAUUUCUCGCUUGAUGUUUCAGGAUGACAUAAGGAAACCUAUGAUGCAAGCAAGUUGAAGGAAGGUUGCGAGUAGUAUAAAUAGAUAUGUGUAGGUCGCAAGAUAAAGUAUGGUAAAGCAACAAGGUUUUAGGAAGAUAUGAGUAAGGAUAAGAAAGGGCGAGGGAGGAGGUGACGAGAAUGGAUAAGUCCUUAGGAUUAAGCCCAUGAAAACAAGAGAGCUGAUGAUUUCUCUAAGUUAUAGAAAGCUCAGUAUAGCCUGAAUGAACUCAAAAGAGUCAAGAAUAAUAGCAUCUAGAAGAGAUGGAAUGCUGCCCUGGUAGUAGAAUGAGGGUGUAAUUGUGAUAGAUAAAGGAUGACGUUUGAGCCUUCGAUUGAGUAAUGAUUUGAAGAGGAUUUCAUGAAUUGUACGAGAUAAAAAUACCCACAUAAGUGAAUCAUAUUAGGAUGCUAUAAAAUACGGUUAUUGAAGUACAGUAUCGCCGCUAAGUGGAUUAGGAAAAUCACUUCAAAUAUUCUUCGAUGCACGUAAGCCCUAGUGGCAAGGUAUUACAUAAAGAGUUUCAAGUUAUCAGUGGUAUAUUAUAGAUCAAUAUUGAGGUGAAUCAACAAUGGAUGGACAAAAUUCACAAAGUAUGAAAUGAAAUUAGGCCAUCAUUCUUAAGAUGAACAGUAAUAAGGAAGCGUUAAAAGAUAUAGCUUUAUGCAUAUAGGAUAUGCAACGAAAGUAACCUGGAGUUUGGUAGCAGACCUCAGUAACGAUAAAUCGAAGUAGAGUUAUGGUAUAGUAUGACCUACCUAGAUGCAGUAAAGUCAUACGGAUGGAUAAACGGAGCUAUGGAAUAAGGUAUAAUAAUAUUCGUAAGUUCAACAAAGUAUCGAGCAAAGAAGUUCAGUAUACCCAUAGACGCCCAGAGGGACAACUUGACAUAAUUCUGUAUAUGUUUACAAAGUGAAGCCUAGAUAUUGGCUAAAAGCCAGAGGAAAAGGAGAGAAGAGUCGCAUAAGUACACUUACAAGGUCAGAGUCGUACAAGCUGCAUGAUAGAAGGUAACAACAGUUACGAGAUUGGAAGCAUUCCGACCACAAGUCGUGGUAUGAGAAAGAGGUCUAAAGGGAGGAAUGUCUUGGCCUUUGAGAUUAUUCACAGAACAGUUUCCUAGAUAUCAAGAAGAGUACUAAAGUAUUCAAAAGACAUAAGUUAUGGAAAUGAUAAAUGCAUCAGUCAACAUUCGAGGACGAAUGUUUCAAAAGUGGGAAUGAUGUUACACCCCAUAUCUUCGUACGUAAAAGUACGCCAUAAGUAAAUUGAUGAAAGUUUGGAAAUAAGAUAUUACAUCUCGCAUUUUUCGUACGUUAAAGUUUCAUCGUAAGUUAAUCGAUAUAACUUCGAGAGUGAGAUUAUUUUAAGAUUAUAAGCAUUAUGCUAUUUAAAACAAGUGAUGAAUAAAUUCGUGAAAGUGAGAGGGUAAGCAAAUCGAAAAAAAUAAUUUUCGUCGAAGUUUGACAUUUUGGGAUAAAAUACGGCCCGAGCUAAAAUACCCGAUAUUUAUGGACUAAUACCAUACAAGGUACCGCAUGGCCAUGAUAGUAAGGUGUACAAAGUGUGUUAAAAGUGAGUAAUAUUUUACGUAAUUUGAGAUAAUUCUUAAUUAUGUGGGGUAUUGGUUAAUGGAAUAUUUACAAGUUAUUAAGCAAUUGGUGGAUAAUUUAUUAAGAUCCUUUGGAUAAAUCUUUGAACCCAACGUGGCAGCAAGCUAAGACAAAGAAAAUGACUCUUAACUCUCAUUACAAAGUGGCAUUUUAAGAGAGUAUUUGUGGCCAAGUCAUCAUCAAAGUGGGGCCCACAACAUGUAACUUUAAGACUUGAUCUCUUACUUUAUUAAAAGAGUAUGCUAAGACUUGCUAAGAGAGCUUCUUACGAAUGGAGUUCAAGCACAACAUUCUACGAGAUUUCUUACCUUAUUAAGGUAUAAUAUCUCUAAUUCAUUUAAAAGAUAUUGAUGCAAAUUUUCCAUGGUAACGUGAUUAGCACAACAAAAGUCUUUCUUAUCUUCUUAAGAUUAGAAGAUGCAAGAUUCGCGUUUCAGAAAGAUUGCCUAGGUGAUUUGCUACAAUCAAAUCCCAUACAAGACUAUUUAAUACUUAACAACGUGAGAUUUUAUAAUUUUAAGGGAGUACGGUGCAAUCCUUCUCAAGAAUAUCAUACUGAUUUUUCCUACUCCAGGUAUGUUAAGGCUAUCCCUUCUUUCUUUUUGGCAUUAUCCAAAUAAUACAAAUGGAACGAGCAAAAUAUGCAACUUUCAUAAAUGACUCUAUUCGUAGAAAUACUAGGGGUGUCUAUAUUCUUGAUUCCCCAUGUGAAUUAUUAUUAUAUNNNNNNNNNNNNNNNNNNNNNNNNNNNNNNNNNNNNNNNNNNNNNNNNNNNNNNNNNNNNNNNNNNNNNNNNNNNNNNNNNNNNNNNNNNNNNNNNNNNNNNNNNNNNNNNNNNNNUGUUAUGAACGCAUAUAUCUAUGCAUGGUAUGAUGUUUAUACGCAUAUGCAUGGCAUUGUAAAUAUCAAUGAUUCACAAAGUUAUUCAGAUUUACAGGUUGAGUCUUUUACUCCAUGUUUCUAUCAUGUCUAUAAUUUACUAAAUUUUAUUCCUUACAUACUCGGUAUAUUAUUUGUACUGAUAUCCCUUUUGCCUGGGGACACUGCGUUUCAUACCCGCAGGUCCCGAUAGACAGGUUAUGAGCCCUCCAAGUAAGCUAUCAGCUCAGCGAAAGAUGUUGGUAUGCUCCAUUUGCUUUGGAGUUGUUGUUUGGUCAGUAUGAUUAGGAUAUGUGUUGAUUGGUAUGGCGGGACUCUGUCCCGACCUUUAUGAUAUGAUGCACUCUUAGAGGUUUGUAGACAUAUAUCAUAUAUACAGAUACUUGUAUGGCCUUGUCGGCCUAUGUUUUAAGUAUAUAAUGGAUCACAUUGGUUUUAUAGGCCCGUAUGUCUUAUGUAUAAGUUGGUAUUUCAUGUUGUAUUCUACUUAUCUCACGGCAGCCUCUCCGGUUUAGUUAUCUAUGAUAGUAUGAU